UGUGUUUGAGCCUAUAUGAUUAUCAGGCUAAAGCAAACAGAUAUAGGAAGGAUUAACAUACUUGAAAAACAGGCAACCACAAAUCAAAACCAAACAUUACAUUCACAAAAACUAAAAAGAAAAGUACUCAAGCAUAACAUAUACGGAAAUAAUCCAACCAAAAAAAAGAAAAAAGAAAAGAAAAGAAGGAAGAAAGGAGAAACAUAGAAUCAACUGGAAAACAAUGUUUAAAAUGGAAAAAAAUACAUAUCUACCAAUAAUUACCUUAAAUGCCAAUGGACUGAGUGCUCCAAUCAAAAGACACAGAGUGGCAGAUUGGAUAAAAAAGCAAAAACCUACAAUCUGCUGUCUACAAGAGACCCACUUUAGGGCAAAGGACACAUACAGAUUGAAAAUGAGGGGAUUCUAAAAGAUAUUUCAUGCCAAUGGAGAAUACAGGAAAGCAAGAGUUGCAAUACUCAUAUCAGACAAAAUAGAAUUGAAAACGAAGGCCAUAAAGAAAGACAAGGAAGGACACUAUUUAAUGGUUGAAGGAUCCACUGAAGAAGAGGAUAUUACAACCUUCAAUAUAUGUUCCCCUAAUAUACAGGAGCACCCAGAUACCUCCAACAAAUACUAACAGACAUAAAAGGAGAAAUUGACAGGAAAUUGACAGGAAUACAGUCAUAGUAGGAGACUUUAAUACCCCCCUCACACCAAUGGACAGGUCCUCUAGACAGAAAAUCAAUAAGGCAACAGAGAUCCUAAAGGACACGAUAGAAAAGUUAGACUUAAUUGACAUUUUCAGGAUAGUACAUCCAAAAAAUAUCAGAAUAUACAUUCUUCUCAAGUGCACCUGGAAGAUUCUCAUGGAUCAAUCAUAUAAUGGGGCAAAAAGCUAACCUCAACAAAUUUAAGGGUAUAGAAAUUAUUUCAACUAUCUUCUCUGACCACAAUGGCAUGAAACUAGAAAUCAACCACAGGAAAAGAAAUGAGAAAAAACUAACUAUAUGGAGACUAAACAACAUGCUAGUAAAAAACGAUAGGUCAAUGAGCAAAUCAAGAAGGAAAUUAAAAAAUACCUCGAGACAAAUGAUAAUGAAGACACAACAACUCAAAAUCUAUGGGAUGCCACAAAAGCACUGCUCAGAGGGACAUUCAUGGCAAUACAGACCUUCCUCAAAAAAGAAGAAAAAUCACAAACUGACAAAUUAACCCACUACAUAAAUGAAUUAGAAAAAGACAAACAAAACCUAAAGUCAGCAGAAGGAAGGAAAUCAUAAACAUCAGAGAGGGAAUCAAUAAAACAGAGAUUCAAAAAAACAAUAGAAAAAAUAGAUAAAACUAAGAGCUGGUUCUUUGAAAAGGUAAACAAAAUUGACAAACUUCUGGCCAGACUAACCAAGAAUAGGAGAGAAAAAAAUCCAAAUAAACAAAAUAAGACAUGAAAAAGGAGAAAUCACAAUGGAUACUGCAGAA
RNAcentral lists this long non-coding RNA (1458 nucleotides) under Sus scrofa (pig). Its description in RNAcentral is "lncRNA (ENSSSCG00060036577.1)". Lineage: Eukaryota; Metazoa; Chordata; Mammalia; Artiodactyla; Suidae. The record is from RNAcentral.